GUCCUCCCCCCCAACACACACUCAGUUUCCUCCCCCUUUGCUAAAUAAAUUAAAAGCAGAGAUGUCUCCUGAUGGAGAUGGAUGAGGCUGAGCUCACUUGCAUGCACUGUGCCACAGCCCUGAUCUGCUGCUUAGGGCAGAAGUGACCUUUCCCAGGCAGUGGGAGGGAGCUUCUCCCCACCCCGAUAUGCUGCUGCUUGGAAUUCAUCUUACAUAGCAGCCUUAUUAUUUUUUUAUCCCACCUCCAAAGAACAGAUUGCUACCUCGGGAAAUGCAGGAUUGUUUGUGUAACUCCCACUCUGCAGCAGAUAGUUUCUCUGUGAGUAUUGUAAACAUGCAGCAAGCUGGGCAGUGGGAUCUGGCCUUGCUGAGGAGGGUAAGGCACAGCGCUCUGGUUGUGUGAGUGCUUUACACCGCCACAGAAAGCCACAGUGUUUCUGUGGUUGCUUCUGGAGGGCAUGAGCAGGUCCCAGGGCUUCCCCUUCCCACCCCAUACUGUUUCACAAAAGAAAAGGCUGCUGCUUCUGGAAGAGGCACUGCCUUGUGGCCUUAUUAAAAAUAAAGAAAUAAAUAAAAAAGGCUGUGGAUUAGUCAUCAUUAUCGUUAAAGGAGGCUGCGUGUGCUGGUGUGUGUGUGAUGUUAAGCAUUAGUUUAUUUGGGAGGGCUGGUAAUGUGCUCGGGUCGCUGCUCCUGGAGCAGUGCCACCAGGCUCCAUCAAGCUGCUGCUUGCAGGUGGAAAAGCUGAUGGGCUGGCUGUUGGUCCCCUUCCAUCCCUUUUCCCUUUUCAGUAUCUUUGCACUGGCAGGUGUGGGAAGGAGGAGACCGAAACAACAGCGAGGACAGGCGAGGUUCCAAUGCCAGAGAAGAAACCCUGUGCUUUUUAUCCUUGCUCGUGGUAGCUUUUAUUCUAAGCACAACUGACUGUAUCUUGUGAGAAGACUUAGUUUGACCCUUUUGGGUGGUAAAAACGGCACUGGUUUGAAUCGUUUAUUUUUAUCCCUUCCCUGUGGUCAUGUAGAGGAGUGAGCUGUGCAAUUAAAGUGGGGUAGCAAAGGACAGUUCCCUCCCCCUUUCCCAUUUCAAAAAACCUUCCAGAGUUGUGUGUUCUUGAAUUGCUGCAUAGGCAGAAAGCAUACAAUGCAGUUGUCAGCAUUGUGCUGAUGUGUGGCACAUAAAAAAAAAAAAAAAAUACACACAAAAGGGGUGGGGAGAGCGGGUGCCUCCAGGGAGUAAAACUGUGGGGCCCCUUUCCCUACCAGCAAACAGACCUACAUGCAAUAGUUUAUUACUUCUCAUUUUGCUCAGGCAAAUGUAAUGCACAGACAUCAGAGGGAGCAUUGCAACGUGCUAAAUGGUGUUGCUGAAGAUCAGGGUCCCCUUGAACUAUUUUUCCUGUGAGCUUGCUCCCAUGAGAUGCCACAGCUUUAUUACUCAAUUCCUCAAAGUUGUGCUUGCUUGCCAGAAGGAAGGAGAAUGCUUCCUUUCUGGGUGUAAUUUCUUUUGUUGUGAGGCAGAAGGUAAUCAAAAGCAGCUGGUUCAGAUCUUUCCUAGGUCACCACGACUUCAAAAUGCACAGUCCAAGCAGUGAGCAAAGAGAGCAGGUAUUGGCACCUCCUCAUUAGCCUUCAUCAAUGAGAAUAUUGGCUUUGGUGUUGUGUGAGUGCUGCUGGCUGACCAGUGGAGGGGCCCUGCCCUUCUAAGCUAGAGCAACACUUUCUGAGCAGUGAUUUCAUUGCCUGGUUGCUGCAGUGAUUUGGAGCACAGCUGUGACUUUAUGUUUUUCUGGCAAAAAUUUAGCUGAGGGUAAGUAUGAGAUGUCCAGGCCAGAUUUCAAAAUGAGAUGGAGAGCUGGGAGAAGCUGGUGCAUGGUGUAUGUGAAAACUGCCAAUUGCUUGUGUUUCUAAAAAGGCUCAUCUGUGUUUGAAUUAAAUGAGCCUGGAUAGGACAUCCAUUUUUUUCCUCUUGUUAGGGAUGUAUUUGGAGAUAUGCCUGGUGCUGAUUGGGGGCCUCUGCUGGCCUGCAGGUACAGGGGACCAACAAAGUGUUUGGGAUGCUUUCAGGUUUUUCAGGCCACGAUACCCUGUAGGAAUUGUACUACUUUUCUCUAUCAGUUUGGAAUAACUGGAUUUCCUUGGGAGUGUUGGACUUGUAUCACCGCAUGCUUUGGAUUGAAGAGUUACCAGAAUGACAUCUGUGAGGUUUCCAAGCUAAACAACACCUGAAUUUCUGGUGCAAAAAGCAAGUGAGUGAUAGAAACCUCUGCUCCUCUUAUGGGUGAAACUGCAGCCUUUUAAGCUUUCCUAUUACACCAAAGAGGUAGAAAAAGCAUAAGCAUGCAUUGUGAGUUCUGCAGUGCUGUGGUGAUGUAAAAUGAAAGCCAAAGCUAGCCAAGAAACUGUUCUCCUUUCAAAUACAGUCGGUCUCCAUGCACGAGUACUUUUCUUCUUUGCCCUUCCCUGAAGUGAGGGAGCAGUAAUGGCACAAGCGUGCACUCGGUCUGCUUCAUUUAGAACACAGUGAUGCGACUUCAAUGCCAACAUGGUGAAUCAAAAGCACUGAAGAUAGCUGGCUUGCUAUUUAUUUUGCCCUAGGUGUGAUUGGGAACGUUGAAGAAGAGCAGCUUUCCACUCACAUGGUUGCACUGUUAUAAACCUUUGUCCUGCAACAUCUCCAGCCUGAUUUCUGUCAUUCCUGCUGGGCAAUUGCAUGUGAGGCUUUUAAUGGAGAGGUAAUACACUGCAACUGUGUGUUAAACAUGGCAACGUACAGGAUACAGUAAUCUCUCCAGUUCUAGGAGCCUGGAAGACAGAAGCCCUCUGCCUAGAGGAUGAAAUGCUUCGUGUUUGGAAAAAAGCUAUCAGGCUUUGUUUGUGACAGCUCCUUGACUGUGGAUGUCCUUCCAGCCAGGCUGCCUGCAGUGUGACAGCAGUGACCCUGCAUGAGGUUUCUUUGAAGGACCUGGGAGAACGUGUGGCUUUUUUUAGUCUCUCAGAGGUGCUUCCCUGGCAGGGACGGAGGAAAAUGUUUGGAAAUGCUGUCACAGGGGGGCAUGCUUACCUGGCUAGGGGAAAACUUGGUGUGGAAAAGCCAGCUGGCUCAUGGUUUGGAGAGGGAUAUGUUCCUUUCUCUCCAAAAUGGAAUCCCUUAAGGAAGGUAUAGACAAGUGGUUCCUGCUCUUGGGGUUUCUGACCAGUUAAAACAAAGAGCUGAGCCCAUUUCCAUGGAGAAAUGUGUGGUAGAGUCCACUGCAAUGCUUUUCCUUGCAUGUGCGUGGUCACGUGCUUUAUUAGUAGAUGGUUUGCAUGCAAGAGGUUAUUGCUUUUUUAUUUUUAAUCAGUCCAUGUCCAUUCGGCAGAGCAGCUUCACACCCACCAUCACGGGGGAAACUGAGGCACGGGGCCACCGUGGGAUUACAGGCAGAGCUGGGGAUAAGGCUCAGGUUUGCCGAGGCUCAGGCUGACGUGCGUCAGAGGGCUGCUUAAAUGGAGAGAUUUGCAAAGGGAAGUGACCUACAGCUCGAUGGCUGGGACUGCUGCUGGACCUGAGCCUUAUGGGUGCCUUCCAACUCGAACCGCAGUUUGGUCAGGGGAAGAAUUUGGCAGCACGGUGCCCACGGUGAGAUUUGGUGAACUCCUCCAGCGCCAGAGCCUGGCCCACAGCCAGCCCGCGGGGUUCAUACGGCACUGAACUUUGGAGCUAUUAGAGAUAAA
Non-coding RNA from Meleagris gallopavo (turkey), 3710 nucleotides. The record is from RefSeq and is a predicted model, not a curated record. NCBI's taxonomy places the organism in Eukaryota, Metazoa, Chordata, Aves, Galliformes, Phasianidae.